AACCAUGUGGCCUAAUGGAUAAGGCAUCUGACUUUGGAUCAGGAGAUUGGAGGUUUUAGUUCUUUGUGGGUUU
This 73-nucleotide transfer RNA is filed under the name Alligator mississippiensis (American alligator). It matches the Rfam family "tRNA". From Rfam's summary of the family: Transfer RNA (tRNA) molecules are approximately 80 nucleotides in length. Their secondary structure includes four short double-helical elements and three loops (D, anti-codon, and T loops). Further hydrogen bonds mediate the characteristic L-shaped molecular structure. tRNAs have two regions of fundamental functional importance: the anti-codon, which is responsible for specific mRNA codon recognition, and the 3' end, to which the tRNAs corresponding amino acid is attached (by aminoacyl-tRNA synthetases). tRNAs cope with the degeneracy of the genetic code in two manners: having more than one tRNA (with a specific anti-codon) for a particular amino acid; and 'wobble' base-pairing, i.e. permitting non-standard base-pairing at the 3rd anti-codon position. The record is from Rfam by way of RNAcentral. Lineage: Eukaryota; Metazoa; Chordata; Crocodylia; Alligatoridae.